This 608-nucleotide ribosomal RNA is filed under the name Enterobacter hormaechei. RNAcentral's name for it is "bacterial SSU rRNA". It matches the Rfam family "Bacterial small subunit ribosomal RNA", at positions 555 to 1164 of the family's 1533-position model. The record is from RNAcentral. Lineage: Bacteria; Pseudomonadati; Pseudomonadota; Gammaproteobacteria; Enterobacterales; Enterobacteriaceae.
UGGGCGUAAGCGCACGCAGGCGGUCUGUCUAGUCGGAUGUGAAAUCCCCGGGCUCAACCUGGGAACUGCAUUCGAAACUGGCAGGCUAGAGUCUUGUAGAGGGGGGUAGAAUUCCAGGUGUAGCGGUGAAAUGCGUAGAGAUCUGGAGGAAUACCGGUGGCGAAGGCGGCCCCCUGGACAGAGACUGACGCUCAGGUGCGAAAGCGUGGGGAGCAAACAGGAUUAGAUACCCUGGUAGUCCACGCCGUAAACGAUGUCGACUUGGAGGUUGUGCCCUUGAGGCGUGGCUUCCGGAGCUAACGCGUUAAGUCGACCGCCUGGGGAGUACGGCCGCAAGGUUAAAACUCAAAUGAAUUGACGGGGGCCCGCACAAGCGGUGGAGCAUGUGGUUUAAUUCGAUGCAACGCGAAGAACCUUACCUACUCUUGACAUCCAGAGAACUUACCAGAGAUGCUUUGGUGCCUUCGGGAACUCUGAGACAGGUGCUGCAUGGCUGUCGUCAGCUCGUGUUGUGAAAUGUUGGGUUAAGUCCCGCAACGAGCGCAACCCUUAUCCUUUGUUGCCAGCGGUUAGGCCGGGAACUCAAAGGAGACUGCCAGUGAUAAACU